UACGUAGGGUGCAAGCGUUAAUCGGAAUUACUGGGCGUAAAGCGUGCGCAGGCGGUUAUGUAAGACAGGUGUGAAAUCCCCGGGCUUAACCUGGGAACUGCAUUUGUGACUGCAUAGCUAGAGUACGGUAGAGGGGGAUGGGAAUUCCGCGUGUAGCAGUGAAAUGCGUAGAUAUGCGGAGGAACACCGAUGGCGAAGGCAAUCCCCUGGACCUGUACUGACGCUCAUGCACGAAAGCGUGGGGAGCAA
This 249-nucleotide ribosomal RNA is filed under the name uncultured bacterium. Its description in RNAcentral is "partial 16S ribosomal RNA". It matches the Rfam family "Bacterial small subunit ribosomal RNA", at positions 524 to 771 of the family's 1533-position model. The record is from RNAcentral.